UUGAACGCUGGCGGCAGGCCUAACCCAUGCAAGUCGAGCGGUAGAGAGAAGCUUGCUUCUCUUGAGAGCGGCGGACGGGUGAGUAAUGCCUAGGAAUCUGCCUGGUAGUGGGGGAUAACGUUCGGAGACGGACGCUAAUACCGCAUACGUCCUACGGGAGAAAGCAGGGGACCUUUGGGCCUUGCGCUAUCAGAUGAGCCUAGGUCGGAUUAGCUAGUUGGUGGGGUAAUGGCUCACCAAGGCGACGAUCCGUAACUGGUCUGAGAGGAUGAUCAGUCACACUGGAACUGAGACACGGUCCAGACUCCUACGGGAGGCAGCAGUGGGGAAUAUUGGACAAUGGGCGAAAGCCUGAUCCAGCCAUGCCGCGUGUGUGAAGAAGGUCUUCGGAUUGUAAAGCACUUUAAGUUGGGAGGAAGGGCAGUUGCCUAAUACGUAACUGUUUUGACGUUACCGACAGAAUAAGCACCGGCUAACUCUGUG
RNAcentral lists this ribosomal RNA (483 nucleotides) under uncultured bacterium. RNAcentral's name for it is "partial 16S ribosomal RNA". It matches the Rfam family "Bacterial small subunit ribosomal RNA", at positions 30 to 507 of the family's 1533-position model. The record is from RNAcentral.